Non-coding RNA from Zea mays, 140 nucleotides. Lineage: Eukaryota; Viridiplantae; Streptophyta; Magnoliopsida; Poales; Poaceae. The record is from Rfam.
ACCAAUUCUGAAGGAAGACUCUGUUCCUCUUUGUAUAAUGGCUCGGACGCCACAUGGUAUUCUAAAAUAGUUGUGUGGUUAUAUCCUGAUUGGUUGCGUUCUUUUAUGGCAAUCCAAUCCUGGAAAGGCCGCAUAUAUUC